AGCUGGAAAACGUAUGCUUAGUUUUGCUACUGAGCCUAAAACCUGAAGGGAUCAUGGAUCGUUCAAGUAGUCUGAUCACCUCAAGCAGGUAAUCCAUCCGUAGCCUCCUUCUUUCGUUAGAUCUGUAUAUAUCUUCAUGGCUUUUUCAAUCCUUAAAGAAGAUUUCUAACGAAGUAAAACCCUAAGCUUCUCACCCGUUCACUCUCACUUCACUUGUUUGCUGGGUUUUCUGUGAUCUCAUAUACCUAUUGGAGUACCUUUUUACCUCUGUAGACGCAAUUUUUGUUUACCCUUAAUAUAUAUCAUUACAGUGCUAGUCUGUCUGUUUGUAAUUUUAUUUCCAUUUUAAUCUAAGAAAAUUGGGUUUGAUUGUUGGUAUCUUUAGCUUAGUCUACACCUAUUGGCUGAAUUGUUAGGAUGUUACUUUAGACUGCAUACUAGAUUUGCCUGCUUCGAAGUGUUCUGUCCUAUUUCGAGGUAAUUGGCUUUGAUUUCUAGUUAUGGUUGAGCUCUGGUUCUUGUUGUAUUGUGCUGCAGCUUAAGUUGCAACUGUUCUGCUUUUGCUAGUCUGUUAAUGUGUAGCGAUGGAUGGGCUUUUACAGAUUGCUAAAUUUGUACCCGAUGUACUUUAUACGUUAAUGAUGAGGCAAUGUGUUUAAGAUAUUGGUCCUUCUCUGAUUUUUUAGUAAAAUACAUUUCCGUAAAAGGUUGAGCUACCCAAAUUCUUAAAAAAUGCAGCAUAAAGGAAAUUUAGCUCAAGUCAAAAUCUAUUAGUUUUCAGGGACGAGAUGAAUAAUGUACUGGAUCGAUGGGAAACUUGCCCAGCUGAUGAAAAAAGACUAGUCAUAUGUCAAUAUCUUGAUGAUGUGAAGAAAAACACUGGUUGCCGGUGAUAUUCCAACCCUGCAGAUUUUGAUGCAGAAAUGGAGAUCUUGACAGUAAAAACUCUUUGUUCCCAUUCCUAUUUGAUUGGAAAAUGCAUGCAUCAAAAUUUUGAUAAUGUGAUUUUUCUUUUCUUGGUUAUUAGAAGCUUAAUUUGAAAUUGUAUGCGGGAAAAACACCAAAAAGCUGUCUGUUUAAAUCAACUUAAGGAGCAUGAACUAGUGAUUGGAAUGCUUAAGGUAAUUCGAGAUUCAGUUCAAGUUUCUAAUUCAUUUUCUGUUAUAACAGGCCUGCAUAGAAUAACCAACUUGGCAAAAGAUAGAGACAUCAGAGUUUUAACAUAUAAGAAAUUUAUUGUGGGAUGCGCUAAAGCCUCUUAAAUAUUGUAAAUAUAGACGUUGGAUUCAACAUCUUUUUGAAAGCAGAAAGAAACUUUUAGAAUCUCUUGAAAAAGAGAAGGAAAACAAGAAGUCUUUAAUCCGGUUUUUGAAGCAAUCUGGAGUUAAAUAUAGAACUGCAGAAAAGUCCGAGAAAAAGAGAAUUCGUCGGAGAUUUACUUUAAAAAAGUUUAGUAUGGAAAAGGAUAAAGAUAUAUCUUUGUGGAUCAAGAAGAAGAGACAAGAAUACGCGAUUUUAGCUGAGGGAUUAAAGUGCGCAUCAGAUGGGUUGGGUGAUCCUUGCACUGAUUGUAGGAAACAAGCACGAUUUAUCUUUGACUACUUCAGUAGGUGGGGGAAACCUGCAAAGGUUAAAUUUUAUGCUUAAAUCCGGCUAGGCAGCUGGAAACGCUGAAUCAAUGGUUAAAUUGUAUGUUUUUAAUAUUAUAAAGAUAGUAAGUUGAGUUACUUCGUAUUUUAUAUUUGCCCCA
Papaver somniferum (opium poppy) is the source of this 1750-nucleotide RNA transcript. RefSeq lists it as uncharacterized. The transcript is spliced from 3 exons. The record is from RefSeq and is a predicted model, not a curated record. NCBI's taxonomy places the organism in Eukaryota, Viridiplantae, Streptophyta, Magnoliopsida, Ranunculales, Papaveraceae.